Long non-coding RNA from Homo sapiens (human), 365 nucleotides. RefSeq lists it as uncharacterized. The record is from RefSeq and is a predicted model, not a curated record. The transcript is spliced from 2 exons. NCBI's taxonomy places the organism in Eukaryota, Metazoa, Chordata, Mammalia, Primates, Hominidae.
GAGCCAGCUGAGGAGGUGUCAUGCAACUUGCUGCCCCAGCCCUCCCCUUCUAAGGAACUCCCACACCUGCCCUGUCUUCCUGCUACAGUCUCUGAGAAAAGCCCUUUCAUCUGUCAAGAACUACAAAAGUCAUUCUUUAAGCAGUGCUAAAUAAACAAUGAAACAGACACAAAGUUAAAGUUACCUGAUCCAAAAAGGAGUGAAGCCUAGACCCCAGCCCACUGACUCAGUCUCUAAGUCCCCUCACUCAAAUCUUCAAUCAACAGUGGAGAUGGCUGUGAGCUCUUCUGAUUCCAGAUGACAAUACUCCUGCCUUUAAUUCCUUGAUAUGUUUAAUUAUGUAAGUAAAUUUAAUAUAAAAAUCA